Molecule: ribosomal RNA, 493 nt
Filed under: uncultured bacterium
Lineage: Bacteria
Description: partial 16S ribosomal RNA
Rfam family: Bacterial small subunit ribosomal RNA
Source: RNAcentral
GAUGAACGCUAGCUAUAGGCUUAACACAUGCAAGUCGAGGGGAAACGGCAUUAUGUGCUUGCACAUUUUGGACGUCGACCGGCGCACGGGUGAGUAUCGCGUAUCCAACCUGCCCUUUACUUGGGGAUACCCCGUUGAAAGACGGCCUAAUACCCGAUGUAAUUCAUUGAUGGCAUCAGAUAUGAAUAAAAGAUUUAUCGGUAAAGGAUGGGGAUGCGUCUGAUUAGCUUGUUGGUGAGGUAACGGCUCACCAAGGCGACGAUCAGUAGGGGUUCUGAGAGGAAGGUCCCCCACAUUGGAACUGAGACACGGUCCAAACUCCUACGGGAGGCAGCAGUGAGGAAUAUUGGUCAAUGGGCGCAAGCCUGAACCAGCCAAGUAGCGUGCAGGAAGACGGCCCUAUGGGUUGUAAACUGCUUUUAUACGAGAAUAAUUUGAUGCACGUGUGCGUUAUUGCAUGUAUCGUAUGAAUAAGGACCGGCUAAUUCCGUGC